UACGUAGGUGGCAAGCGUUGUCCGGAUUUACUGGGCGUAAAGAGCGCGCAGGCGGCCGAGUAAGUCGAAUGUGAAAGCCCCCGGCUCAACUGGGGAAGGUCAUUCGAUACUGUUCGGCUUGAAGAUAGGAGAGGGAAGCGGAAUUUCAGGUGUAGUGGUGAAAUGCGUAGAUAUCUGAAGGAACACCAGUGGCGAAGGCGGCUUUCUGGACUGCAACUGACACUGAGAAACGAAAGCCAGGGUAGCAAACGGG
Molecule: ribosomal RNA, 253 nt
Filed under: uncultured bacterium
Lineage: Bacteria
Description: partial 16S ribosomal RNA
Rfam family: Bacterial small subunit ribosomal RNA
Source: RNAcentral